Molecule: ribosomal RNA, 497 nt
Filed under: uncultured bacterium
Lineage: Bacteria
Description: partial 16S ribosomal RNA
Rfam family: Bacterial small subunit ribosomal RNA
Source: RNAcentral
GACGAACGCUGGCGGCGUGCCUAAUACAUGCAAGUUGAGCGAUGAAGAUUGGUGCUUGCACCAAUUUGAAGAGCAGCGAACGGGUGAGUAACGCGUGGGGAAUCUGCCUUUGAGCGGGGGACAACAUUUGGAAACGAAUGCUAAUACCGCAUAACAACUUUAAAUAUAAGUUUUAAGUUUGAAAGAUGCAAUUGCAUCACUCAAAGAUGAUCCCGCGUUGUAUUAGCUAGUUGGUGAGGUAAAGGCUCACCAAGGCGAUGAUACAUAGCCGACCUGAGAGGGUGAUCGGCCACAUUGGGACUGAGACACGGCCCAAACUCCUACGGGAGGCAGCAGUAGGGAAUCGUCGGCAAUGGACGAAAGUCUGACCGAGCAACGCCGCGUGAGUGAAGAAGGUUUUCGGAUCGUAAAACUCUGUUGGUAGAGAAGAACGUUGGUGAGAGUGGAAAGCUCAUCAAGUGACGGUAACUACCCAGAAAGGGACGGCUAACUACGUG